UUCCUCCACAUUUUCACCAUGGCAGUAUUAAGUAGUGAGUGUGAAUGACACAGCAUGAAACUGGUUACUGAAUCAGCUAUGAGCUCAGAUGGCCUCAACAUACAUACUCAAGAAAUGUUGCAUGUUUAAAUAACUGAGAGUGUGCUAAAUCUCAUCUAAAAAAAAGAAGGAGAGGGGCUGGGGAACUCAGGCCCCAGUCAUGAAAGGAUGAAUACAAUUUCUAGGUUUAAUAGGUUCACCAUAUCGAAGUCUUUGAGAAUCCAAUAUGGAAUAUCAAUUAUUUUGCAAAAGGUAGAGGAAGCAGUUCUCAACUUUUGCAAAUGAAAUACAGUGGAAAAACACUGUUGUAUAUAUUCCAAAUAAAUAGUCUUGAUUUCAACGCUAACAAAACAACGGGAAGGGUACUCGUGAGCAUCUCACGGUUAAGUCAGAAAUGAUCGUUCACACAGGUCUGAUUUCAGAAGUACAACAGCAAGAUGCAGCACCAUAGACACAUCGGUUUCGGCUGUUAAAAGAUGGAUCAUUUUAAAAACUGGGUUUUCCUUCCUUAAUUUUUGGUCAGUGAAGCUAGCACUUGUUUGCUGAACUGUGGAAGAACUGCAAGGUCACACACAUUAUUCAUGAUAAAGCAACCGAGCUGACGAGUCUGUGCUUAAUUCAAGAAUAACCAGUAGGAGAGAGAGAAAACACAAGGAGUUAACCACCAUCGCCGGUGCUCUCUCAAAGGAAGAGGGUUAACAGAUGAGUUCACAAAGGUAGGCAGAUCUAUACAGAACACUGAAUGCCAUGUGUAAAUCCUCAUGAAACUCCAGAAACAGGAACACCACACAA
RNAcentral lists this long non-coding RNA (831 nucleotides) under Pongo abelii (Sumatran orangutan). RNAcentral's name for it is "lincRNA". The record is from RNAcentral. Lineage: Eukaryota; Metazoa; Chordata; Mammalia; Primates; Hominidae.